GUACUGACCUGGCAGGGGAUGUACCACAAAGGUGGUUUUCCCAGGGCGAGACUAACCCACUGCACUCCGAAUGUGCUGACCCCUGCAAUUUCCCCAAAUGCGGGAAAUUUCACUGCAUAAUUUGUGGUAAUGGGGUUCUGCAUUUGUGCUCUCCCCUG
Molecule: small nuclear RNA, 158 nt
Organism: Arvicola amphibius (Eurasian water vole)
Lineage: Eukaryota; Metazoa; Chordata; Mammalia; Rodentia; Cricetidae
Product: U1 spliceosomal RNA
Exons: 1
Source: RefSeq, a predicted model, not a curated record